Molecule: ribosomal RNA, 546 nt
Filed under: uncultured bacterium
Lineage: Bacteria
Description: bacterial SSU rRNA
Rfam family: Bacterial small subunit ribosomal RNA
Source: RNAcentral
UAGCUAUUUAGGUUAGAGUUUGAUCAUGGCUCAGAUUGAACGCUGGCGGCAUGCUUUACACAUGCAAGUCGAGCGGCAGCGCGGGGGCAACCCUGGCGGCGAGCGGCGAACGGGUGAGGAAUGCAUCGGAACGUGUCCCGUAGAGGGGGAUAGCUCGGCGAAAGCCGGAUUAAUACCGCAUAUGCUCUACGGAGGAAAGCCGGGGACCCGCAAGGGCCUGGCGCUAUGGGAGCGGCCGAUGCCCGAUUAGCUUGUUGGUGAGGUAAAGGCUUACCAAGGCGACGAUCGGUAGCUGGUCUGAGAGGAUGAUCAGCCACACUGGGACUGAGACACGGCCCAGACUCCUACGGGAGGCAGCAGUGGGGAAUUUUGGACAAUGGGGGAAACCCUGAUCCAGCCAUGCCGCGUGAGUGAAGAAGGCCUUCGGGUUGUAAAGCUCUUUUGGCCGGGAAGAAAGGAUUCGGGCGAAUAACCUGGAUCUUUGACGGUACCGGCAGAAUAAGCACCGGCUAACUACGUGCCAGCAGCCGCGGUAAUGUCGGGCCC